CUCAAAGUGUCACCCCGCCAAGUUCAAAUGCUACUGCCAUGUAUACAAAAAAGCACACAAGCCCUUCUGUUUGAAUAGUAGCACUACAUGUUUUAUGUUACUUAUUGACAAGUUUGAAAUUGUAACUGUGUUAUUGUCCUUGAUAUUCCUUUCUGUAAUUCAUUUUCAGUCUUCGCUGGGCUGUUACUGAUGUAAAUUCCCUAUAAUGUACUUAACGCAUGUUUUUAUGUUAAAACCAUAAUUUUUUUUUUUUUGAUUAAAAAAA
This 265-nucleotide unclassified non-coding RNA is filed under the name Hevea brasiliensis (rubber tree). Lineage: Eukaryota; Viridiplantae; Streptophyta; Magnoliopsida; Malpighiales; Euphorbiaceae. The record is from RNAcentral.